CUCACAUAUCAGCAAGACAGCAAUACGCACCCAAAACCUCUGCAGCUUCUUUUACUCCAUCUCUUAAAUUCAACCGUCGCCUCCUCCUCCCUCCUCCACCACUUCAAUCUCUUCCGUCCGUCUCCACCGCCUCCAUCUCCUCUUUCCUACCGUUGCAUCUCAAACAAUUUCACUGCCAUCCGAUUCUCCCUCUGACCACGACCGUAUUACGCCACCUCUACGUCUCCGCCGGUGAGGUUUCCUCCCCUUUCCUCCCCUGUACCACCCUGAAAUUAUCCCUACUUGUGGCAUAACCCUAUAACCCCGCUACCUAGAUUGACAUUCUUCCCGAUUCGACUCCCACUUUCUCUUCCUCCUUAUUAACAAAUACGGUUUCUCUCGAGCGUUUCCGGUCUCGAUUUCCCAUGGAAGGAGUAUGUUUUCCAGGUUAGCGAGUGAUGCUGAAAUGGAAAAGAGGAGGGCAGAUGAAUUUGAGCCUGGACCAGCUUCUCCGUUGAAGCCAGUUGACAGGUUUGGGUUUGUAAAACAGGACCAGAAUAACUCCCUAGAAGCUAAAAACAGGCCCACCAAUGAAGUGGAGAGGGGACCUAAAAUUGUUCGAAGUGAUUGUUUGCAUGAAUAUUUUAUCGUGGAAAACAGGGAGGAAAGGAGGAUUCGAAAAUGGAGGAAAAUGAUAGGUGUUGGUGGAAGUGAUUGGAAGCAUUAUGUCAGAAGGAAACCUCAUGUAGUUAGAAGGCGUAUAAGGAAGGGCAUUCCUGAUUGCUUGAGGGGACUUGUUUGGCAGUUAAUUUCUGGAAGUAGGGGUCUUUUGCUAAUGAAUCCGGGAGUUUAUGAGCAACUAGUGAUUUAUGAGACGUCAGCAUCAGAAUUGGACAUAAUUCGAGACAUUUCACGAACUUUCCCUUCACAUGUAUUCUUCCAGCAAAGGCAUGGGCCAGGACAAAGAUCCCUUUACAAUGUUUUGAAGGCAUACUCUGUAUAUGACAGAGACGUUGGAUAUGUUCAGGGAAUGGGAUUCCUAGCCGGUUUGUUGCUUCUGUACAUGAGUGAAGAAGAUGCAUUUUGGCUAUUGGUAGCUUUACUAAAAGGAGCUGUUCACGCACCAAUGGAAGGCCUGUACCAGGUUGGUUUACCACUAGUGCAGCAAUAUUUAUUUCAAUUUGAACAGUUGGUUAAGGAGCAUUUGCCAAAGUUGGGACAACAUUUUUCUGAAGAAAUGAUUAAUCCAAGCAUGUAUGCCAGUCAGUGGUUCAUAACCGUAUAUUCUUACUCAUUCCCUUUUCCCUUGGCUCUACGGAUCUGGGAUGUGUUUCUCUAUGAGGGCGUCAAGAUUGUUUUUCAAGUUGGUUUGGCCUUGUUGACAGUUUGUCAGAAUAACUUGUUAAAGUUAGCUUUUGAGAAACUUAUUCAUGCUUUGCGCAACUUCCCUGAGGAAGCAUUGGAUCCUGAAAAGUUAUUACCACUUGCUUUCUCGAUCAAGUGAAAUCCUGAACAAGGUUUUGAUGGGUACGAAGCUUGCGACAGGUGGAGUAGAGGAAAACGUGACAGUAAAAAAAAAAUUUGGUAAAGUGUUUUUUCCGGGUUAGCGUGCCAAUGGAUGUGGAUGGCGAGAUCAAGGCAAAUCAGGAUUAAAACCGAGCCAUAGAGUCUCUUAUACGGCGGCCAGACUUUGGAUGUGGAGAAAUGACGGGAAACUUGCGGGCUUGAGGGUGAUUUCGAGAGCUUAGGGAAGAUGUGCGUUGGAUUAACUCCUCCUUUAACAACCUGGAAGAGAUGAAGCUGACGAGUGGAUUAGAUCAGAGAUUGAACGGAGGAUUUGAGCUCAAGAAAGGAGAAGAGAUCUGGCUCUCAGAGGGGAUUUCAACGGAAUGCUUUGAGUGUGCAGGGUGGAACCUAAAACAACUGCUUCGUUGUUAUUUUAAAAGGUGACGGGGAGGCAAGCUCUUUAAUUGACAACAAGCCACCAGCGAAGAUCGUGGGUGAGGGACGUAUAGAGGUCGCCUAAAGCUCGUGGUCGGAGGUCCGGUUGGCGGCGAGGUCACUAAAAGAUUAGAAGAGCUCAAACAAGAGUAUGAAAAGCAACAUGGGAUCUCUUUGCCACAACUCACUUCUUGUAGUAAGCCAUUGAAGUCGCUGCAAUCCCCAGCAAAACCAUCAGAUGAUUGACUACA
Molecule: RNA transcript, 2171 nt
Organism: Dendrobium catenatum
Lineage: Eukaryota; Viridiplantae; Streptophyta; Magnoliopsida; Asparagales; Orchidaceae
Gene name: EVI5-like protein
Exons: 11
Source: RefSeq, a predicted model, not a curated record